GCGGUAUUGACACUGCAGCAAUAUGACGACCGGUAUAAAACACUUUAUUUUAUUUCUGUUAAUAGCAUGCACAAACGGAGACGUCUAUAAAAUCAGUAAGAUAUUAUAAUAUUACAUUUUUUUUAAAGAAAAAUACAUAUUUUCUAUAGGUAAUAGAUAAAAAUCAAAUAGUUAAUCGUAUACUUUUACUAGUUUUACUGGAGUAAAAUUCUCUUGAAUGAUACCCAACAUGAAACGUAUUUCAGUAGAAUAAACUUUGAAUGAAAUUGACUGGUUUGUUUUUAAAGGAAGAUCGGAAAUACCGAAAUGCACAUAUUUUUAUUGAACUAACAUUGAUUAAUAUAUUUUUUUUCUACAUCAAAAAUCGCUUGAGAUAUUACGGUCAUUUAAAGAUUACAAAAAAAAAAAAUAAGAUUUUUAAAAGAAUGUACAACAUAAUGCAUAUCAAUAUUAUUAUAUACCAAUAAUUAUUUCUUAUCAUUUUUUCCCCACAAAUAAUAGUCAAAUCUCUUUGAAGUCAUGCGUUUUAAAUUUUUUGAAAAAUCAAAUUUAUAUAAAUUUUAGUUAGGUACUCAUAGAGGUAUAUCAUAUCUCAGGCGAUUUAUAAGUUUUGAAAAAACGGAAUAAAAAGUUAAAAACAGAAUGACAGAUGUUAUAAAAAAUAAGUGUUUCUGUUUCAAAAAUGUAAGUUUUAUUGCCCAUGACUACGCCACGGAGGUUUAAAUGUUUAAAACAGACUAAAAAUGUGUAUUUUUAAACUUAGAUUUUCCCAAAUAAAAAAAAAUGCGUAUGAUAGUUUGAGUGAGACACACUGCGCAGUAUAGGUACCUUUAUAAUAUAUAGAACAUAAAAUACGAUUUACAAUAGUUUAUUACAAUUACUAAAUAUGCAUCGCAAUAAAUAUAAUAAUACAAAUAAUGUAUUUACAUAAAGUUUUGGCUCUACAUUAAAUUUACCUUCAAAUUACUAACACAAUGCAAUGACGACUAUUAUGGGAUAAAAAAUGUAAAAUAUAUUAAGAGCUAAAAUUAAUAGCGUAUUCCCAGGUACAUACUAAAGGUCAGUAUAUUAAUACUCCCAAAUUUCAUGUUACCGUCAAACUGUCCAAGAAAUAUUUAUUUUUUGAAACAAUGACUGAUGUAAAGAUUUUUUUAGAAACGUAUAUUCAAAAAUCUAACACUGUUCUUAUUUUUUUCACCAUUAUUUUAAUCCAUUAUCCACAUGUGAUUUUAAAAUUGAAAUCUAUAUUAAAAAUCCACAAAUAUAUGAAGUUUUAAUUUAAAUACAAUUUUAUGUUUAAUUUUUUAAUUUUCGUCGACUCGUUAACGAGAUAUUCCACUUUAUGUUUUAGUGGAGGAAGCUGAGUAGUGUAGCACUAAUCAAACUCUGCGUGCUGCCACACAAAUUAUGUUCUACUACUCUCCCCCACACAAACCUUAAAGUAAAAUACCUCGUUAACGGGUUGGUGAAAAUUAAAAACGUCAAUCUCUCAAUGUACCUAUUUAAACAAAAACGUCAUAUAUUUAUAGAUUUUCAAUAUAGGUUACUAUUUUAAAAUUAAAAAUGGGUGGUGAAUUUACCAGCAAAAUAAUAUUCAAACAAUAACAACAAUAUAAAAUGUAUAGAAGGUUUUUUUUUUAAUAUAUAUAUAUUUGAAGAAAUAAUUACACAUUAUCUACCUACGUUUUAUACAAAAAAAUGUCAAGGCUUUAUUAUUUUAAUUUUUUUUUAAUUACAACCCUUGUUUUAAUUCUAUUUCAAGCUACAGAAUACAAUCAUUACUAUCUAUGGACUAUAAAAUAAUUUAAAAUAGUGUACUUAAAAGUGAACAAAAAAGUAAAAUUAAUAGUAUUGUAAUAAAGUAUUCUGAAUAUUUAACAAAAUCUUUUUUCAGAAGUAUUCAAUACUAUAUUCCGAAUAGUUAUAAAAUAUAUUUUACUUGACUAAAAUAAAAAUAAUAGUUUCACGAGAAAUCACGAGUGACAAGCACUGUGUAGUUGUAUAAUUUUCAUGGCAGUAGCGGAUUUAAAGGAGAGACCCGAGGUAUUGGUCUAAAUUAAGUUUUAUUAAUUUUAUAGUCACAGGUAAUUUUGUAUCAAGUAUUGUUAAAUAUGUAUGUAACAAUAUAAUAUUGAAAGUGUGACAAAAUUAUACUUCUAUUUCGUAACCAUGGGUAAUUUAUCAAAACCAGAUUUUAUAGCUUAUCUGAAAAGACUUGCCGUGUAACUUUCCCACCGAUCAUCAGUAUCUUAUUCUAAUUUAUGUCACGCGUUUAUAAAAUAGAUUUAGUCUUAAAUUUAUAUUAUCUUAUUAAAACGCAUAAAAUAUAUAUUUGAGAACAACAAUGGGAGAAAACCGUUUAAAUGGUUUAGCUUUGCUCCAUAAACAAAUUGAUGUAAAACCUGAAGACGUAUUAAACAUGUUUUCAAAAUCUAAUCUUAGGCGAUUACAAUCAUCUUUAUUGUUAUAAAUUUUAAUCAUUAUUAAAUAAAAAAUUCAUAUUUAAAAUUAUGUCUAUUUGCUUGUUACUAUUAAUAAUAAACUAUUAGUAACUAUUAAUAAUAAUAAUAAUAUUAAUAUAAACUAUUAAUAGCUAUUAAACUAAAUACAGAGCAGUGAAUUACACUUUAAAGACUUGACAAACAAAUCGAAGUCUGCACGAUGACACUGGGUUUGUGAUUUUCAGAAACGAUAAUAUUAUAUUCAUUGACCCGUAGUAGUUAAUUUUUCUUCGAUUUUAAACCAUAACUAACGAAAAAACGAUUCUAAGCGGAAUUCGCUCCCCUCAGAAUCUAAAAUAACAUGUUUCAAUAUUAUUUUCCAAUGAUAUCAAGAAUUACUUUGCUGAUCGAACUAGUAUAAUUUGCCUAAUGACUUUUACAGCUAAUGAGAACGCCAUUCACUAUGAUCUAUUUUAAACUCAAAGAAUGUUCAAAAUGUUUAACUUAAUUUGUUAUUAAUACGAAAAAGGAGUAAAAAAGAGCAAUAAAUUUGAGGGAAAAAACCUGACUAUUUCGUUCAAAGUGCAUUAACAACAGGAAACACAAAAAACUAAACAGAAAUAAUUUUUAACCGUAAUUUAUUAUUCUCCAAUUAAGCAAAAAAUAAUUAUUAAUUUAUCAUUCAGUACAGAGAUUCUAAAAUCGGUUUGGGGAACUGUUCCCUUUAUCUUUUAUUAGACUAUUAGACAUUUAUUACAACAUAAAAUUAAAAUUUAACUUCCCUUCAUUCAAAAUAGUUGGCUUCAUUUUUUAUUCUUACUACUUAGUAUUAUACUCGGAGAAUAAAUAUUUAGAUAAACGCGUAUUUUUCCGCUCCCGCCAUCUGAUCUCUACCAUAGCUUUUGACAAUAGCAUACCUAUUCAGGUAUACAUAUGCACCAUAAAUAGCUGAAAAUAAUAUUAUAUUAUAUUCGUUCAUAUUUCAUAUCCUAUUUGAAAUAAACAAAAAUUCAAAUUUCAAGACACAAACAAUUAAAUAUAUGCGAAAUACAUUUAUUUUUAUGUUAAUUAAUUCAAAGUUAUAAUACUCAAUAUACUAUGGAAUAAAUUAUUUAUUAUUUUAUUAUUAUACUUAGAUACUUAAUAGUUAAUUGACCUAUCUAAUGUGUUUUCAUGAAAAAAAAAAAAAAUUAAAAAAAUAUACCAAAUUUUUUAUAGUCCUCCUCCUUGUGAGUAACAUAAAAAAAAAACAGAAUUCAAUUAUCUAUAUUAUUAAAGAUUUUUAAAUUUGGAGAUUUUCAAGGGGUAUAUUCGUGGGACAGCCUAUAUAUGGCUAUAUAUGCGAUCAAUUAUUUAACUACUAUUCAUAUAGGUAGUUUACUUGCUCCUCGUAUUAUUUAUUAGUAGGUACUUAGAUAUAAAACGCGUAAAAAAAAAAACUCCACAAUAACACCGGAACAGCGACGUGUAUUAAAUACACGAUUUUCUAUAGACCAUGAAAAAUGCACACUGAAAUAAUAUAUAAAGACAAAUUGCCAAACUAUUUGACACCUACGUAUAAAAAAACUGUACUAGGAUAAUGGGAUCAGGUGUAGCCACUGUUAUAGGCAAUUUAAUAUGUACCUAACGAAAAAACGAUUCUGAGCGAAGUUCAUUUGAUAGUGUUACCUUGUCAACAACAUAUAUGACAUAUGGUAAAAUAAUUAAAUAGACAUUGUACAUUUUCUUUAAUUAAAUUGUUUAGUGUACCCGUUUUCCCUCCAUAUUUUUUGGUUUUUCACAUUCGAUAUGAAAACAUUGACCUUCCCAGUCCGAUUUCCUUUUAGAAAAAUUGCCACACUUAAAAAUCGGAGCAAGAUUUCUGGAUAGAAAAGUCACUACAGAUAAAAAAAAUAAAAUAAACAUCUUUGUAAAACCAUAAGCUCCUUCGCUCCACUCAGAAUCUAAAAUUAAAUAUAUGAAUAAUAUUCUCGUGAUCAUAAAACGAAUUUGAAUCUCGGUUAUAGCUAUAAAUUAGAUGCACAGAAAAAAAAAACACCAAUAUCCUGCAAGUUAUAUGUGCCCUAUAAUCAUUAUUACCGUCCAAUAACAUUAAAUUCAAUAAUAGCGCUUAAGAAGGUAUAGGUACUAAAUUAGAAAUUUUAUAGCUUGAAUGAUAAUCGAGAAAAAAAUACCUGCGAGAAAAAAAUGGUACACCGUAUAAAUAAAUACAGUUUUUACCUCCUUUUCUAUUUUAGAUUCUAAAGUGAAUCGAAAAUGACAUUACUCGUAUAGAUGGUUUUAAACACAAUUUUUUUUCUCAGUUCAUCGUGUUUAUUAUAUAAUAAUCAAUAAUAAUCAAUUUCAAUAUUGUUUAUAUAUUAUUAACCUAAUAUUUAUUAUUAUUCAUUAUCUUAAAUAUACUUUUUAUCAAGCAUACAUGGAUAAUUUUCAGUUUAAACUGUUUACGAAACAUAAAAUGCAUAUAAUUUCACUAAGUAAUAAAAGACCAACAAUUAUUACAUCAUUAACCUAUACAUUAGUAACUUAAUAAUUAUAUAAUUUUGUAUUUUUAUAAAUACUUGAAAAAUAUUAAAUACUAAUUUUCUAGCUUGAUCAAAAAUAAAAAAAAAGAUAAAUUUCAGAAAUAAAAUUGAGCUGAUACUAAUGACGCACCACUGUUGUGAGUGGGAAGUUAGAAAGGUAGAAUGAAUAAAGAUAUUUAAUUUAUAUCUGUAAGCAAUGAUACAACAUUGCCAACUAAAAACGAUUUUAAGCGAAGUUUAUUUAUACAUAAUUUGAAAGGCUAAUAUUAAUAUUUUAAUAUUUACGAUUUCAAUCAAAAAACCAUUGUAAAAAAAAAUUAUUACAUUACAAUCAACUUUUUUUUUUUUUUCACGAAGUAUAACAUAUAACUGUAUAACAGUAUAACAUGAACCUCCUGUUAACUUUUGAAAUAUUUCUGUUUAAUCAAAUAACGAUAUCCCCAUAGUACCUACCAAAUAAAUACUACGUAUAAUACUCAUAAACAUAAAAUGUCUAUAAAUAGCUCAAAAAUCAAUUUAUUUUGUGAAAGUCAAUUUAAUCUAAAUAUUUGAUUUAGGAUUCAUUUUACUCAUCAGAAAAGUAAUUUUUUUUUAAAACCCAAUUUAUUUUAAAAGUGUAGAAAAUUUCGAAAAAUUUUACAAAUAAAUUAACAUUGGCACAAAAUUCCAGUUAUCUUUCAUGAACAAAUUCACGAAAUCACAAAUCGAAAAAUUGAUUUCCAAUUAAAAAUAUAAAACACACGUAUCUUAGUAAAGGUACUAGGAAAUAAAGUGGUAAUACAUUCCUAAGAAUUUAAAAAUAAUAAUAAUAAAAUUACCUAACCUCAGAGGAGUCUGAGUUAUUUAUCGCGUUCGAUAAAAUUCUCGAUGUACUAGGAAGAACGUAUUAGGAAAAAAACGAUUUAAUAUUGAAAAUGUCUUCCUACAUCAUGCAAUCUGAGACAUGAAUAUUUAAUAAAAAUCGUUCAUCGUCAAUAAUUUCUUGUAUAAUAAUAUUUCUUAUAAAAUAUACCGACCGUUAUUUACGAACGUAAUGUACGCUAUAAAAUAGAUGUCUUACAGCAAUUUUACCAAGUCUUCUAUUUGUACGUCUUCGACAUUUUAUAAUAUAAAAAUAUUAUACCUAUAUACAUCAUAAAUAAUAAUAUGUCAUCAACAAAUACCUAUACUGGAUUACAUCAUUAGCAUUAUUAGAGAGCCUCCUACAGUCUACUCGUUCGGUUUUGUUUAAUAAUACCACGUCAAAAUUAAAACAGUCUUCGUUGUCAUAAAAAUAACAGUAAGCAUACCUAAAUAACGCGUUUCUUUAUACCAUCACCGCCGAGUUUUAAACGAUAAAGCUAUACCGUAAACUUGGGUAAAGUUUAGCAUCAUUUGUGUGGCGGCACAGUGCGCGGCGUUUUAAUAAUGCAUCACUACUCUCCCCCAAACCAUACUUAAAAAUGGAAUAUCUUGAUAAUGGAUUGACGGACAUCAAAAAUUUCAAUACCAAAAUUUAUUUUAACUAAUACUAAAUCUGUUUAUGGAAUUUUAAAUAUGGAUUGCCAUUUGAAAAUCAAAAGUAGGUAGUGGUUUUACCCCUAAAAAUAAGUAGUAUAAAUAGUAAAAAAUAACAUACAUGUAAAAUUUUAGAGUUGCUUGUUUCUUAAGUUUCUUAAUUAAACAGAUUCCGAUAAAAGUUAAUACUCUCCGAGAUAAUAAGUAUCUUACAAUAGACUCUUGAUGGAGUGUGGCGCUCUUGUAUACGAAACAUGGAUAAUCAACUUAAUGGAGAAAAAUAGGCUGGAAGCUUUUGAAAUGUGGUGCUUUAGGAAAAUGCUUAGGAUACCUUAGGAUAAUUUUAAGAUAUCUCGAGAGAGUGACAAAUGAAGUGGUACUAAACAAGAUAAAUGAAAAACGACAGUUAUGAAAAAUAUUCAAUCCAAAAUGCAUAAGAUGAUAGGAAACAUAUUAAGACAUGGAAAUUUAAUAAAGACAAUAAUUGAAGAUAAUAUUUAAGGACACAUGGAACAUCUAGGGCAAAAUACAUAACCUAAAUAAUGAAGGAUAUGAAUAAGGACCUUCAAGAACUAUGUUACAACAGAGAAGCAUAGAGAGCUGCAACAAACUAAUGGUUAGAUUAGGGUAGGUUCCUAAGGAUUAAUAACAAAAGAUUUAGAUAUAGAUUUUAUCAUGAUAUUACUUUGAGUAAUGUUCAAGUAGUGAUUAACAAAAAAUCAUAAUAACCGAAAUGCGGUUGCCGAGGUAGUCCACGGUAGUCACAAUACCCAACACAAGUACCUGUUAUUUUAAAUCUAUAUAAAUAAAAAUGUGAAAAUAUAUAUUAUACUCGUCAUUUUAAUAAAAUGAUUGCCAAGGCUCGGAGCUAUUUACACUUAAAUCUGCAAAGAACGCUUAAAAACGUCAAAAAAGCUCCAAAAAGACCACUUAAGAAUUUUUUUCUAAAAUCUCAAAAUGGUGAGGAACUUUAAAAGAUUGUCCUUCUAACGAUGCUAAUUUAUUAAACAUUAUUUUUGAACACUACACAAAUUAUUAACACGAAGUAAUUUUAUUUUUAAAUACUUGCGUACAAUUUAAUUUAAACAAAAUUAAUAUGUAUAUUGUGUUGUUACUUUUGUAGUGUUGGAAAAUGUUAUUUAUUAAAUUACAGCUGUAGAAGAAAGAACUUUUAAACCGAUUUACAAUUUUGCUUUAAAAAUAAAAUGUCAAGUGCUUUUAGGGCUUCUUUAAAAUUUGUUUGUAAUUUUUAAGUGUUUUAAGUCCGAGUUCUGAUUAUUAUGGGCGUGGGACUUACAGUCCUGAUUAUUACUACAUAGUAAUGUAUAAAAUUAUGUAACAUUAACAAUCUUUCGUUUCAUAUGUUACAGGUAUAUUAACGGAAAGCGAAAACGACACAAACUACAUUCAAUUAUCGUCCGUAUUAAAAAACUACAACGAUGUGUCGAUCGAACCGAUUUUUAACGACCCAUAUAAUAAUAUAACUAACAAAUGUACGAUAACUAUGAUUUACCUAUAUAUGCGUCAAACGCGAAUAACAUUAAUAAUAUAAAUUUUGAGUUCCUAUUAUAUAGAUGAUAAAUGUAGAAAUAAACUCUGG
Non-coding RNA from Cinara cedri, 8063 nucleotides. Lineage: Eukaryota; Metazoa; Arthropoda; Insecta; Hemiptera; Aphididae. The record is from the annotation of a GenBank genome assembly.